Non-coding RNA from Salvelinus sp. IW2-2015, 293 nucleotides. Lineage: Eukaryota; Metazoa; Chordata; Actinopteri; Salmoniformes; Salmonidae. The record is from RefSeq and is a predicted model, not a curated record.
UCUAACCAUUACCCCAAAUUAAGACCAAAUUGCACAUUUUGGUUUUCAUAUAUUUAUACGAUAUGGCCAAUUCUGACUUUGCCGCAGGCCAUCUACUAGCUAGUGGAUGACAUUCUAAUUCAGGCUCCAUACCAAAGAUUUGUUAUAUCUGUUCCGAUACCGGCAUAUCCAAAAUGGCUACCGCCGUUCCAGUUGAUUCGGGAUUGACUGCUCCGACAGACAUUAGGACUCUGUUCUGGAGGAGAGCCUUGCAGAGAGGGUCCAGUGCGUCUCGGAAAAUGGCAUCUCCAGAG